This 508-nucleotide ribosomal RNA is filed under the name uncultured bacterium. RNAcentral's name for it is "partial 16S ribosomal RNA". It matches the Rfam family "Bacterial small subunit ribosomal RNA", at positions 30 to 523 of the family's 1533-position model. The record is from RNAcentral.
AUUGAACGCUAGCGGCAGGCCUAACACAUGCAAGUCGAGCGGCAGCGGGAAAGUAGCUUGCUACUUUUGCCGGCGAGCGGCGGACGGGUGAGUAAUGCCUGGGAAAUUGCCCAGUCGAGGGGGAUAACAGUUGGAAACGACUGCUAAUACCGCAUACGCCCUACGGGGGAAAGCAGGGGACCUUCGGGCCUUCCGCGUUUGGAUAUGCCCGGGUGGGAUUAGAUAGUUGGUGAGGUAAUGGCUCACCAAGGCGACGAUCCAUAGUUGGUCUGAGAGGAGGAUCAGCCACACUGGAAAUGAGACGCGGUCCAGACUCCUACGGGAGGCAGCGGUGGGGAAUAUUGCACAAUGGGGGAAACCCUGAUGCAGCCAUGCCGCGUGUGUGAAGAAGGCCUUCGGGUUGUAAAGCACUUUCAGCGAGGAGGAAAGGUUGAUGCCUAAUACGUAUCAACUGUGACGUUACUCGCAGAAGAAGCACCGGCUAACUCCGUGCCAGCAGCCGCCGUAA